AACGUAGGGGAGCAAGCGUUAUCCGGAUUUACUGGGCGUAAAGCGCCCGUAGGCGGCCUGACAAGUUUGGACGUGAAAGCUCCUGGCUUAACUGGGAGAGGCCGUUCAAAACUGUCAAGCUAGAGUCUGGAAGAGGAGAGCGGAAUUCCCGGUGUAGUGGUGGAAUGCGUAGAUAUGCGGAGGAACACCGAUGGCGAAGGCAAUCCCCUGGGCCUGCACUGACGCUCAUGCACGAAAAGCGUGGGGAGCAAACAGG
Molecule: ribosomal RNA, 256 nt
Filed under: uncultured bacterium
Lineage: Bacteria
Description: partial 16S ribosomal RNA
Rfam family: Bacterial small subunit ribosomal RNA
Source: RNAcentral